RNAcentral lists this transfer RNA (63 nucleotides) under Sparganum proliferum. Its description in RNAcentral is "tRNA-Ile". The record is from RNAcentral. Lineage: Eukaryota; Metazoa; Platyhelminthes; Cestoda; Diphyllobothriidea; Diphyllobothriidae.
CCAAUAGGGCUGCUACUGCAGGUUACUUUGAUAUAGUAAAUAUAGGACUUUUGUUUCGUUGGU